Molecule: ribosomal RNA, 429 nt
Filed under: Chloroflexota bacterium
Lineage: Bacteria; Bacillati; Chloroflexota
Description: Chloroflexi bacterium partial 16S ribosomal RNA
Rfam family: Bacterial small subunit ribosomal RNA
Source: RNAcentral
UGGGGAAUAUUGCACAAUGGGCGCAAGCCUGAUGCAGCCAUGCCGCGUGUAUGAAGAAGGCCUUCGGGUUGUAAAGUACUUUCAGCGGGGAGGAAGGGAGUAAAGUUAAUACCUUUGCUCAUUGACGUUACCCGCAGAAGAAGCACCGGCUAACUCCGUGCCAGCAGCCGCGGUAAUACGGAGGGUGCAAGCGUUAAACGGAAUUACUGGGGUUAAAGCGGACGCAGGCGGUUUGUUACGUCGGAAGUGAAAUCCUCGGGCUCAACCUGGGAACUGUAUCUGAUACUGACAAGCUUGAGUCUCGUAGAUGGGGCUAGAAUUCCUGUUGUAGCAGUGAAAGGCGUAGAGAUCUGGAGGAAUACCGGUGGCGAAGGCGGCCCCCUGGACGAAGACUGACGCUCAGGUGCGAAAGCGUGAGGAGCAAACAGG